UUUUCCGGUUGAUCCUGCCGGAGGCCAUUGCUAUCGGAGUCCGAUUUAGCCAUGCUAGUCGCACGGGUUUAGACCCGUGGCAAAUAGCUCAGUAACACGUGGCCAAACUACCCUACGGACCGGAACAACCUCGGGAAACUGAGGCUAAUUCCGGAUACAGCUCUCGUGCUGGAGUGCAGAGAGCUGGAAACGCUCCGGCGCCGUAGGAUGUGGCUGCGGCCGAUUAGGUAGACGGUGGGGUAACGGCCCACCGUGCCAGUAAUCGGUACGGGUCAUGAGAGUGAGAGCCCGGAGACGGUAUCUGAGACAAGAUACCGGGCCCUACGGGGCGCAGCAGGCGCGAAACCUUUACACUGCACGACAGUGCGAUAAGGGGACUCCGAGUGCGAGGGCAUACAGUCCUCGCUUUUCUGUACCGUAAGGUGGUACAGGAACAAGGGCUGGGCAAGACCGGUGCCAGCCGCCGCGGUAAUACCGGCAGCCCGAGUGAUGGCCGAUAUUAUUGGGCCUAAAGCGUCCGUAGCCGGCCGGACAAGUCCGUUGGGAAAUCGACGCGCCUAACGCGUCGGCGUCCAGCGGAAACUGUCCGGCUUGGGGCCGGAAGACUCGAGGGGUACGUCCGGGGUAGGAGUGAAAUCCCGUAAUCCUGGACGGACCGCCGGUGGCGAAAGCGCCUCGAGAGGACGGACCCGACGGUCAGGGACGAAAGCUAGGGUCUCGAACCGGAUUAGAUACCCGGGUAGUCCUAGCUGUAAACGAUGCUCGCUAGGUGGGGGGCGCAGGCUACGAGCCUGCGCUGUGCCGUAGGGAAGCCGUGAAGCGAGCCGCCUGGGAANNNNNNCNGCAAGGAUGAAACUUAAAGGAAUUGGCGGGGGAGCACUACAACCGGAGGAGCCUGCGGUUUAAUUGGACUCAACGCCGGACAUCUCACCAGCACCGACAGUGGCUGUGAAGGUCAGUUUGAUGGGCUUACUGGAGCCACUGAGAGGAGGUGCAUGGCCGCCGUCAGCUCGUACCGUGAGGCGUCCUGUUAAGUCAGGCAACGAGCGAGACCCGCACUCCUAGUUGCCAGCAGCACGGUCACGUGGCUGGGU
RNAcentral lists this ribosomal RNA (1094 nucleotides) under uncultured haloarchaeon. Its description in RNAcentral is "bacterial SSU rRNA". It matches the Rfam family "Archaeal small subunit ribosomal RNA", at positions 1 to 1092 of the family's 1478-position model. Lineage: Archaea; Methanobacteriati; Methanobacteriota; Halobacteria; Halobacteriales; Halobacteriaceae. The record is from RNAcentral.